This 539-nucleotide long non-coding RNA is filed under the name Physcomitrium patens. RNAcentral describes it as "long non-coding RNA (PPAT_LNC001007)". Lineage: Eukaryota; Viridiplantae; Streptophyta; Bryopsida; Funariales; Funariaceae. The record is from RNAcentral.
GCAACCUUGUAGUAUUCUUUCAUAUCCAAACCAAUCCAAUCUUCAAUCCAACAGUGGCUAUAAUAUUAUUUAUUUGAAAAAAAUCACUUCAUGAAAUUACCACCGUUGCUCUCUAUUAAAUUUCAGAUUUGAUACAAAAAUUAUAAAUACAGGUUUGACUGUCACUCUUGAUUUUCUUUAACAGAUUUCAAUUUCAUUCACUGAGUUCUGCACCAGAAUACCACUUUGUUAUUAUUAUUACUUUUGUAUUUACAUUCUGCAAAAGCCACCUCCAUAUCCUCGAGGCUAAAUGAAUUGCUUUGAUUCAGAUGUUUUAGUUUCUAAAUAACUUGCAUAUCCACUCUCACAUACACACAUACACACAAUUGAAGUGAUAAAAGGUUAAGAAAUACGUAACUGGACUUCAAGCGUUUGUGAAUCUCGCCGCAGCAACUUCACAUCUCCAGUGCGAAGCGCUUGAAUCACUUGCUCGCAUGACACAAGCAAACACAAAAGUUAGUAUCACAUUAGAUCAUGAGAGUAUCCUGAAUCAUGUUGUA